AACAGGAGAGCUUGCUCUCGCUGACGACCGGCGCACGGGUGCGUAACGCGUAUGCAAUCUACCUUACACUGGAGGAUAGCCCAGAGAAAUUUGGAUUAACACUUCAUAGUAUGUUUACCUCGCAUGGGGAAAACAUUAAAGGUUACGGUGUAAGAUGAGCAUGCGUCCUAUUAGCUAGAUGGUGUGGUAACGGCACACCAUGGCAACGAUAGGUAGGGGCCCUGAGAGGGGGAUCCCCCACACUGGUACUGAGACACGGACCAGACUCCUACGGGAGGCAGCAGUGAGGAAUAUUGGACAAUGGAGGCAACUCUGAUCCAGCCAUGCCGCGUGCAGGAAGACUGCCCUAUGGGUUGUAAACUGCUUUUAUACGGGAAGAAACACCCCUUCGUGAAGGGGCUUGACGGUACCGUAAGAAUAAGGAUCGGCUAACUCCGUGCCAGCAGCCGCGGUAAUACGGAGGAUCCAAGCGUUAUCCGGAAUCAUUGGGUUUAAAGGGUCCGUAGGUGGAUAAUUAAGUCAGAGGUGAAAGUCUGCAGCUCAACUGUAGAAUUGCCUUUGAUACUGGUUAUCUUGAAUUAUUAUGAAGUAGUUAGAAUAUGUAGUGUAGCGGUGAAAUGCAUAGAUAUUACAUAGAAUACCAAUUGCGAAGGCAGAUUACUAAUAAUAUAUUGACACUGAUGGACGAAAGCGUGGGGAGCGAACGGGAUUAGAUACCCCGGUAGUCCACGCCGUAAACGAUGGAUACUAGCUGUUCGGCUUUCGGGCUGAGUGGCUAAGCGAAAGUGAUAAGUA
Molecule: ribosomal RNA, 795 nt
Filed under: Flavobacteriaceae bacterium ACEMC 3-6
Lineage: Bacteria; Pseudomonadati; Bacteroidota; Flavobacteriia; Flavobacteriales; Flavobacteriaceae
Description: bacterial SSU rRNA
Rfam family: Bacterial small subunit ribosomal RNA
Source: RNAcentral